UACGUAGGGCGCAAGCGUUGUCCGGAAUUAUUGGGCGUAAAGAGCUCGUAGGCGGUCUGUCGCGUCUGCUGUGAAAUCUCAGGGCUUAACCCUGAGCUUGCAGUGGGUACGGGCAGACUAGAGUGCGGUAGGGGAGACUGGAAUUCCUGGUGUAGCGGUGAAAUGCGCAGAUAUCAGGAGGAACACCGAUUGCGAAGGCAGCUCGCUGGGACGUAACUGACGCUGAGACGCGAAAGCGUGGGGAGCAAACAGG
RNAcentral lists this ribosomal RNA (253 nucleotides) under uncultured bacterium. RNAcentral describes it as "partial 16S ribosomal RNA". It matches the Rfam family "Bacterial small subunit ribosomal RNA", at positions 524 to 776 of the family's 1533-position model. The record is from RNAcentral.